UACAGAGGGUGCGAGCGUUAAUCGGAAUUACUGGGCGUAAAGGGCUCGUAGGCGGCCAACUAAGUCGGAUGUGAAAUCCCCAGGCUUAACCUGGGAACUGCAUCCGAUACUGGAUGGCUUGAAUCCGGGAGAGGGAUGCAGAAUUCCAGGUGUAGCGGUGAAAUGCGUAGAUAUCUGGAGGAAUACCGGUGGCGAAGGCGGCAUCCUGGACCGGCAUUGACGCUGAGGAGCGAAAGCUAGGGGAGCAAACGGG
RNAcentral lists this ribosomal RNA (253 nucleotides) under uncultured bacterium. RNAcentral's name for it is "partial 16S ribosomal RNA". It matches the Rfam family "Bacterial small subunit ribosomal RNA", at positions 524 to 776 of the family's 1533-position model. The record is from RNAcentral.